AAUGGCGCGAUUACCACAUUUUCCGAACCCUGAUGAAUAAGCUGGACAGUCUUUUCGAAAAUCGUGAACAAUUACGACGAUGGCCUAGGUUAUCGUUGAGACAUACCCCGGAACAACAUAUGUUAUCGUUGAGACAUACACCGGAAGAACAACAAGUUCGAAGGCGGAUCUUUCCCUGGCAGGAAAGUGGACAGAGCUUCGACGGAGCGCGGAAAAGACUUUGUGAUGGGGAAUUGGAAACGGAUAAUGUUCAGGGCUAACAGGACCCCAUAUAUCUCCGACAUACAGCCCUUUAUGAUAAAGGAUGCGUUAUGGCCAGCUGACACGCAGGACUUUGAUGCAAUUCUACCGUUCUGUACGAGCGCUUUUUCAAACUCACCGCGAAUCCAGGGAACAUCGACCCCCUCCCGACAUAUUCAAGACCCCAACAGGCAACGAUCAACUGUGGCCCAAGUACACUGCUCCGAAUCAAGCCCACCCGAAAACUACUGUUGGGCCGGGAACUUGCUGCUUCACGAGCCGGCGCUCCAGGGACAAGACUACCCGGAGACAGAUCCAGCAGAAUCGGGAAAGCUAGAGGGAAAAAGUCACACACCCCCGGUUUCGGCGAUUCGUCACAACAAGCGCCAAAAAAGCCGAGACUCCGCACCGGCGAAAAACGGCACAGACGACCACAUAAAUCUAGAGCUGGG
Oncorhynchus nerka (sockeye salmon) is the source of this 692-nucleotide long non-coding RNA. RefSeq lists it as uncharacterized. The transcript is spliced from 4 exons. The record is from RefSeq and is a predicted model, not a curated record. NCBI's taxonomy places the organism in Eukaryota, Metazoa, Chordata, Actinopteri, Salmoniformes, Salmonidae.